RNAcentral lists this non-coding RNA (115 nucleotides) under Sus scrofa (pig). The record is from RNAcentral. Lineage: Eukaryota; Metazoa; Chordata; Mammalia; Artiodactyla; Suidae.
CAUGGUUUCCAAGGACCUCAAACCCUGUAUUAAAUCUCAUGUUAAAAAGACCUGCAGUCAUGGAGGUCUCUGGUCUAGGACAGCUGACUCAGUCUGAUCGUUCCCUUCAUACUGC